UACGUAGGGCGCAAGCGUUGUCCGGAUUUAUUGGGCGUAAAGAGCUCGUAGGCGGUCUGUCGCGUCGGCUGUGAAAACCCGAGGCUCAACCUCGGGCCUGCAGUCGAUACGGGCAGACUAGAGUGCGGUAGGGGAGACUGGAAUUGCUGGUGUAGCGGUGAAAUGCGCAGAUAUCAGGAGGAACACCGGUGGCGAAGGCGGGUCUCUGGGCCGUAACUGACGCUGAGGAGCGAAAGCGUGGGGAGCGAACAGG
Molecule: ribosomal RNA, 253 nt
Filed under: uncultured bacterium
Lineage: Bacteria
Description: partial 16S ribosomal RNA
Rfam family: Bacterial small subunit ribosomal RNA
Source: RNAcentral